Molecule: long non-coding RNA, 405 nt
Organism: Mytilus trossulus (common blue mussel)
Lineage: Eukaryota; Metazoa; Mollusca; Bivalvia; Mytilida; Mytilidae
Exons: 4
Source: RefSeq, a predicted model, not a curated record
UUCGGUCGAGUUGUGCCGGUACACCAGGUGCUUAUCUGUGGAGACCGAACACUGAGCAAGAAGCCGCUGCAGUAACAAAUGAAUUCAACAUUAGAAAUGUGUGGAGCGGUGCAAAUGAUUUCGACGAAGAUGGAUUAUACACAUUUGACACAGAAAAUAGUUCAUUUGCAUUCAAUGCUCUCCCAUUUGGAAUAGGCGCUCAGGAUAGUUCCUUUAAAUGUGUGGUGAUAGAUUUAGAAGACGGUAUAUGGAAUUGGUCUACAUACAAUUGUGCUAAUGUUUUAGCACGCUACAUAUGCGAGUAUCCCAGAAGAGUUUGUCCAUAGAGACUUUGACACUGCCAACGAUGUUCUUCAUUUGAAAAAAAUUGUCGAUGCAUGGAAAAAUAAAAUUAUUAAAAGCGGA